GACGAACGCUGGCGGCGUGCCUAAUACAUGCAAGUCGAACGCAGUGGGGACGGGUGAGUAACACGUGGGUAACCUCCCCUCAGAGGGGAUAACACUUGGAAACAGGUGCUAAACCGAUACUGAUGGAUGGACCCGCUGUGCAUUAGCUUGUUGGUGAGGUAACGGCUCACCAAGGCAAGGAUGCAUAACCGAGCGGGGAGGGUGUUCGGCCACACUGUGACUGAGACACGGUCCAGACUACUACGUGAGGCAGGAGAGGGGAAUAUUGCACAAUGGGCGCAACCCUGAUGCAGCCAUGCCGCGUGUAUGAAGAAGGCCAUCGGGUUGGAAAGUUCAUUCAGCGGGGAGUCGGUACCCGCAGAAGAAGGACCGGCUAACUCCGUGCCAGCAGCCGCGGUAAUAC
RNAcentral lists this ribosomal RNA (403 nucleotides) under uncultured bacterium. RNAcentral describes it as "partial 16S ribosomal RNA". It matches the Rfam family "Bacterial small subunit ribosomal RNA", at positions 28 to 526 of the family's 1533-position model. The record is from RNAcentral.